RNAcentral lists this ribosomal RNA (375 nucleotides) under uncultured Alphaproteobacteria bacterium. RNAcentral's name for it is "bacterial SSU rRNA". It matches the Rfam family "Bacterial small subunit ribosomal RNA", at positions 521 to 896 of the family's 1533-position model. Lineage: Bacteria; Pseudomonadati; Pseudomonadota; Alphaproteobacteria. The record is from RNAcentral.
UAAUACGGAGGGGGCUAACGUUACUCGGAAUUACUGGGCGUAAAGCGAGCGUAGGCUGUUAAUUAAGUUGGGGGUGAAAGCCCGGGGCCCAACCCCGGAACUGCCCUCAAAACUAGUUAACUAGAGGACGGGAGAGGGGAGUGGAACUCCCAGUGUAGAGGUGAAAUUCGUAGAUAUUGGGAAGAACACCAGUGGCGAAGGCGACUCUCUGGACCGUUUCUGACGCUGAGGCUCGAAAGCGUGGGUAGCAAACAGGAUUAGAUACCCUGGUAGUCCACGCCGUAAACGAUGAGUGCUAGACGUUGGGAGGAUCGCCUCUCAGUGUCGUCGCUAACGCAUUAAGCACUCCGCCUGGGGAGUACGGUCGCAAGAUUA